Long non-coding RNA from Oncorhynchus tshawytscha (Chinook salmon), 1245 nucleotides. Lineage: Eukaryota; Metazoa; Chordata; Actinopteri; Salmoniformes; Salmonidae. The record is from Ensembl.
AUUCUCUCCUCCAAGCUGCGGUGUCCUGUUGUCAAACCGAGAGGGUGUGGCAGAUGGCAGUGUAAGAGCAGUUAGUGUGUUGUGAUGCGACCUGCCUGAGGCUGUUGGUGGGGGGCGAUGGCGGUUGCUAUGGAGCAGGUCGUCACUGGCGGUGCGGUGGUCUGUGCUGUCAGUUGGUGAGGUACUGUAUGUUCACAGGACCACAGACAGAAUGCUGCUGGCUGUACCUCUGUGUCUGGUCUCACUGGUGCAGGAGGGAGGACCCCGAGGUUUGUUGUCCAAUAAAUGCCUGAGUAAAAAUAAGAACAAAUUGAGUGGUAGCUGUGGGUGGGGGGUCCUUGUAGUGAGAAGACAUCCCAUGUUGUUAGGAACUCUGUUCUAUGCCAGUAACGUGGACAACUGACGAGCCCUCAAUGGAAUGGUUAAAAGGGGGUAUUUUCUAUCCGAUUUUAGAUUGAGAACAGUUGAUUGUCUAGUUGUCAAACUAGCAACCUACCCUUUGACCUCCACUAAUGCAGCUUGUCUUGUUUUCUUUCCAGAUGUCAGACGAUUGAGACUUCUCUGUGGACAUCAACCAGAGCUUAAGUCUGCCAGUGGACACCUCUCUACGCCUAACAAUACUGACCAAAAGGCGCAGUUGUGUAGCAGUUGAGUAUUGCUGGUUAGCUGUUAAGGUGCGAUGCAGUGCUGAUGGUGAGGUGGCAGUGCCGUGGCUGGCGGGGGGUGUUGCGGUGCCCGGUGAGUGCCCGGUGCAGUUGCCGCCCUGCUAUCGACUUUGUGCUGCUGCCGUUUGCCUGGUUCUGGUCUGUAAGAAUAAAUCAAUCACUGCUGUGGUGGCAGAUCUGAUCAUCCCAUCUCUCUCCCUGUUGUCUUAUGGUAUCUUACCAUUGUGGAUGUACCAAUACUAUUUUCUUCCUCCCCUCUUUUUCCAUCCCUAGCCUGGUGGAACCAGUCUGAUCAUUGUAUUAUCGAUCAGGCUGGUUCCAACAGGUUAACUAGCCUACACCCCCCCCAAACUGUGCUUUAGUCCUCUGUUGUGAGCUGGUUGUAUCCACUGAUGGAAGAGUCUGUUAUGGCUCGAUAGAGGAGGGUUGGAUAAAGGGCAACCCACUAGCUUGAAAAAUUAGUCUCAGUAUUAUUUUGUGAACCCUCGCAAGAUGUCUUGUAAAUGCUCCAGGUGAAGGCUAAUAAAAAUGUCAAAUUUGUUUUGUUGUAGACUGUUAUUUGAGCAGAUCUUGCGAGAGC